UAUUUUAAUUUUCAAGAUUUUGAUUUCAAAUUGUUGCGAGUUAGGGUCAUAUGAUACGUACUUUGUUAGAGUGAGAUAAACUCAAUGAUCUUACUUGGGCAUUAAUAUUAUCCUUCUUUUAUGUGUCUACUGGGUUUUAAGUCAUGAAGCUAUUGAUAACAUUUUUGUCUUUGAUUAUCUUUUCUUUGAAAACAUGGGCAACAAAUGAAAGAAGAGUGAGUUAGUCCCAAUAGGGAGGGUUUACAAUGUGGAGUUUGUUUUUGUGCUGGGUUGUAGUGUGGGGGAGUUUCCUUGUGUCUGAGUUUGGGUGCUUCCUUUAAACUGUCAAUGAUUUAGGAUGUGGUGGAGGAAAGAUUUCAUAAAUGGUUUAUUAUGUGAAGAAGAAAACAUUUGUCAAAAUGUGGGAGGUUAACUUCAACAAAAAAUGCCUGUUGUGAUAUAGGCCUGUUGUGACAAAUAAUCCAUUUUGCCGCCACCUCUAAUCAUUCUUGUGACAGUUAAUUCUUCCUUUGCAUGUCCAUUAUGAGAUAUCCUAAAACCAAGGAAACAAAAAUACUCAAAAUAAAGCAAGAAAAAAUUGUCUCAUCUGUAAGGCAUGAAGGCAGAAUUUUACAAUUUUAGAUGUGAAAUUGACCUAAUAUCUUUGUGUUGUUUCCAAUCAAAAAUAAAAAAUAAAAAAUUGACCUAAAUCUGAGUAGUAAUUAAUUAAAGUAUGCAUGUAUCAAAGAAUUACAUCUUUAUCUAUUUUUUCCACUUUGGAUGGGGG
RNAcentral lists this long non-coding RNA (766 nucleotides) under Vitis vinifera (wine grape). RNAcentral's name for it is "long non-coding RNA (VVIN_LNC001239)". The record is from RNAcentral. Lineage: Eukaryota; Viridiplantae; Streptophyta; Magnoliopsida; Vitales; Vitaceae.